This 569-nucleotide ribosomal RNA is filed under the name uncultured bacterium. Its description in RNAcentral is "bacterial SSU rRNA". It matches the Rfam family "Bacterial small subunit ribosomal RNA", at positions 318 to 878 of the family's 1533-position model. The record is from RNAcentral.
GCCGUCCCGCCGCCCCCGCCCGCCUACGGGAGGCAGCAGGUAAGAAUCUUCCGCAAUGGGCGAAAGCCUGACGGAGCGACGCCGCGUGAACGAAGAAGGCCGUGAGGUUGUAAAGUUCUUUUCGGGAGGGGGAACAACCGUGGCAGGGAAUGGCCGCGGGAUGACGUGAAUCCCGGAAUAAGCCCCGGCUAACUACGUGCCAGCAGCCGCGGUAACACGUAGGGGGCGAGCGUUGUUCGGAAUCAUUGGGCGUAAAGGGCGUGCAGGCGGUCCUGCAAGUCCGGCGUGAAAGACCCCGGCCCAACCGGGGGGACGCGCUGGAAACUGCGGGGCUUGAGUACAGGAGGGGAUGCCGGAAUUCCAGGUGUAGGGGUGAAAUCUGUAGAUAUCUGGAAGAACACCAAUGGCGAAGGCAGGCAUCUGGCCAUGUACUGACGCUGAGACGCGAAGGUGCGGGGAGCAAACAGGUUUAGAUACCUCUGGUAGUCCGCACAGUAAACGAUGUGCACCAGGUGGCGGGGGGUCGACCCUCGGUACCGUAGCUAACGCAUUGAGUGCACCGCCUGGGG